UCAUACUUACAUUGGAUUAAUUAUGGGUUGGGUCCAAUGUACAGGCUAGACCCAAUAAUAUGUAUGGUAUAUGGUAUUUUGAGGAACUCACUAAGCUUUGUGCUUACAUUUAUGUGUUUAUGGUACUGCCUGUUGCAACGGGAAGGGUCUGGCGUGACUGUACAACAUCCCCUAGUGUUUUCCACAUUGGCUAUUAUGACAUUUACUAUGAUCAUAAAAUGAUUUAAUUACUAUAACUGGAUUUUGGGACAAAUCAAUUGGAUGGUUUAAAUGUUUUUAAAAUGAAACUUUUACUAAAAAAUUUUGGGAUCUUACACCUUACUUCACAAGCUUCACCAAAAUCAAGAAACCAAUCUCAAGAUCAAGUCACCAAGCUCUUUAUCAUGGGAAGGGGUUAUGGUUUCGAAAUGAAGAGAUAGAGGUUGAAGGAGGUGAAGUAAUACAAGAAUUAUGGUGGUUGAAUAUGGGCUAAACCCUAAAAAUCAUGGGGUUGGGAUACAACAACCACCACGUCUUUGCGUCCUUCUUGCGAUGUCAUGGUGUAUGAUGUGCACAAAUUAUACCUAUCUAGUUUUGAAUUGAUAACCUAACGAACUUAACUAGCUAGAAUGCACGUAGGCAGUGUACCUAGUCGAAUUAAAGAAUCGUCUAGGUAAGUUGGGUGUCGAUCACGGGGAAUGGUAUUUAAUUAAUAAAAUAACUAGUAAAAGGUAAACUAAGAAAGACAACUAAAAUGAGGGUUUUAUCUAAUUUUACAAGUUCAGAAAAACUUAAAUUAAAAUAACAAACUAAUGACUAAAGUAAACAACUAGAAAGACGAUUUCAAAUCAAGAAUAAUGGAUACUUUCGUUUAGCUUCGAACCCUUCCUGUUUCCUAUGGUUGAUUUCAAGACAAUGGAUUAAUUCUGCUAGCUACCAAAUAAUAGUUACUAGUCAUCAUGAUCAUACUAACUAGCAUAAGUUAAUUAACAACUUUAAACCUAAUGAUCAUGCAAGUUAAGGACACUAAAUUGAUUUUAAAGGUAAUUUGGACUUUGAAUGAUAUAAUCUACAGACUACUAUUCUUCUGUUAAGUCUAGUAAUUGAGAAAAUAUUAUGAUCAAAUACUGCACUUUAACACAAUUAAGCAACUAACUUAUCACCUAUACUAGGAUAUGGUCAAUCUCUAGCUCUAGCAAUUUAAUGGUCAUAAACAACUAGGUAAACCAAGUUCAUGCAACUAACUGUAUUUUAACUACACAAAACUUGAGACAAGGCAAUAAAGAUAGAAACUUUAACAAUCUAGGUGUAGAUUUAUCAAACAAUAUUUAAAGCAAAAACCAGCUUCAUCAAUCCAUAAAACAAGAAACCAAAUAAUAGUUACUAGUCAUCAUGAUCAUACUUACAAUGGAUUAAUUAUGGGUUGGGUCCAAUGUACGGGCUAGACCCAAUAAUAUGUAUGGUAUAUGGUAUUUUGGGGAACUCAUUAAGCUUCGUGCUUACAGUAAUGUGUUGAUGGUACUGCCUGUUCCAAUGGGAAGGGUCUGGCGUGACUGUACAGCAUCCCCUAGUGUUUUUCACAUUGGCUAUUAUGACAUUUACUAUGAUCAUAAAAUGAUUUAAUUACUAUAACUGGAUUUUGGGACAAAUCAAUUCGAUGGUUUAAAUGUUUUUAAAAUGAAACUUUUACUCAAAAAUUUUGGGAUCUUACACCUUACUUCACAAGCUUCACCAAAAUCAAGAAACCAAUCUCAAGAUCAAGCCACCAAGCUCUUUAUCAUGGGAAGGGGAUAUGGUUUCGAAAUGAAGAGAUAGAUGUUGAAGGAGGUGAACUAAUACAAGAAUUAUGGUGGUUGAAUAUGGGAUAAACCCUAAAAAUCAUGGGCUUGGGAUACAACAGCCACCACGUCAUUGCGUCCUUCUUGCCAUCUCAUGGUGUAUGAUGUGCACAAAUUAUACCUAUCUAGUUUUGAAUUUAUAACCUAACGAACUUAACUAGCUAGAAUGCACGUAGGCAGUGUACCUAGUCGAAUUAAAGAAUCGUCUAGGUAAGUUGGGUGUCGAUCACGGGGAACGGUAUUUAAUUAAUA
RNAcentral lists this long non-coding RNA (2069 nucleotides) under Lactuca sativa (garden lettuce). RNAcentral's name for it is "long non-coding RNA (LSAT_LNC009919)". The record is from RNAcentral. Lineage: Eukaryota; Viridiplantae; Streptophyta; Magnoliopsida; Asterales; Asteraceae.